GGAUGAGCCCGCGGCCUAUCAGCUUGUUGGUGGGGUGAUGGCCUACCAAGGCGACGACGGGUAGCCGGCCUGAGAGGGUGACCGGCCACACUGGGACUGAGAUACGGCCCAGACUCCUACGGGAGGCAGCAGUGGGGAAUAUUGCACAAUGGGCGCAAGCCUGAUGCAGCGACGCCGCGUGAGGGAUGACGGCCUUCGGGUUGUAAACCUAUUUCAGUGCCGACGAAGCGGAAGUGACGGUAGGCACAGAAGAAGGACCGGCCAACUACGUGCCAGCAGCCGCGGUAAUACGUAGGGUCCGAGCGUUGUCCGGAAUUACUGGGCGUAAAGAGCUCGUAGGUGGUUUGUCGCGUUGUCCGUGAAAACUCACAGCUUAACUGUGGGCGUGCGGGCGAUACGGGCAGACUAGAGUACUGCAGGGGAGACUGGAAUUCCUGGUGUAGCGGUGGAAUGCGCAGAUAUCAGGAGGAACACCGGUGGCGAAGGCGGAUCUCUGGGCCGAUACUGACGCUGAGGAGCGAAAGCGUGGGGAGCGAACAGGAUUAGAUACCCUGGUAGUCCACGCCGUAAACGGUGGGCACUAGGUGUGGGCGACAUUCCACGUCGUCCGUGCCGCAGCUAACGCAUUAAGUGCCCCGCCUGGGGAGUACGGCCGCAAGGCUAAAACUCAAAGGAAUUGACGGGGGCCCGCACAAGCGGCG
This 701-nucleotide ribosomal RNA is filed under the name uncultured actinomycete. Its description in RNAcentral is "bacterial SSU rRNA". It matches the Rfam family "Bacterial small subunit ribosomal RNA", at positions 223 to 934 of the family's 1533-position model. The record is from RNAcentral. Lineage: Bacteria; Bacillati; Actinomycetota; Actinomycetes; Actinomycetales.